CGCAGCCGCGGUAAUUCCAGCUCCAAUAGCGUAUAUUAAAGUUGUUGCAGUUAAAAAGCUCGUAGUUGAAUUUCGGGGUCAGUAGGUCGGUCGUGCCACUGGUAUGAACUGGUUUCACUGAUUCCUCCCUCUUGUAGAACCGUGAUGCCAUUAAUUUGGUGUUGCGGGGAAACAGGACUGUUACUUUGAAAAAAUUAGAGUGUUUAAAGCAAGUUAACGCUUGAAUACAUUAGCAUGGAAUAAUGAAAUAGGACGUCUGUCUUAUUUUGUUGGUUUCUAGGAUGGACGUAAUGAUUAAUAGGGAUAGUUGGGGGCAUUAGUAUUCAAUUGUCAGAGGUGAAAUUCUUGGAUUUAUUGAAGACUAACUACUGCGAAAGCAUUUGCCAGGAUGUUUUCAUUAAUCAAGAACGAAAGUUAGGGAUCGAAGACGAUCAGAUACCGUCGUAGUCUUAACCAUAAACUAUGCCGACUAGGGAUCGGAUGAUGUUAAUUUUUAAUGUACUCAUUCGGCGCCUUACGG
This 520-nucleotide ribosomal RNA is filed under the name uncultured Glomus. Its description in RNAcentral is "SSU rRNA". It matches the Rfam family "Eukaryotic small subunit ribosomal RNA", at positions 569 to 1093 of the family's 1831-position model. Lineage: Eukaryota; Fungi; Glomeromycota; Glomeromycetes; Glomerales; Glomeraceae. The record is from RNAcentral.